This 621-nucleotide ribosomal RNA is filed under the name uncultured Caryophanales bacterium. Its description in RNAcentral is "bacterial SSU rRNA". It matches the Rfam family "Bacterial small subunit ribosomal RNA", at positions 37 to 638 of the family's 1533-position model. The record is from RNAcentral. Lineage: Bacteria; Bacillati; Bacillota; Bacilli; Caryophanales.
UGGCGGCGUGCCUAUACAUGCAGAUCGGGAGCGAACGGAUAAGGAGCUUGCUCCUUUGAAGUUAGCGGCGGACGGGUGAGUAACACGUGGGUAACCUACCUAUAAGACUGGAAUAACUUCGGGAAACCGGAGCUAAUGCCGGAUAACAUUUGGAACCGCAUGGUUCUAAAGUAAAAGAUGGUUUUGCUAUCACUUAUAGAUGGACCCGCGCCGUAUUAGCUAGUUGGUAAGGUAACGGCUUACCAAGGCAACGAUACGUAGCCGACCUGAGAGGGUGAUCGGCCACACUGGAACUGAGACACGGUCCAGACUCCUACGGGAGGCAGCAGUAGGGAAUCUUCCGCAAUGGACGAAAGUCUGACGGAGCAACGCCGCGUGAGUGAUGAAGGUUUUCGGAUCGUAAAACUCUGUUAUUAGGGAAGAACAAAUGUGUAAGUAACUGUGCACAUCUUGACGGUACCUAAUCAGAAAGCCACGGCUAACUACGUGCCAGCAGCCGCGGUAAUACGUAGGUGAGAAGCGUUAUCCGGAAUUAUUGGGCGUAAAGCGCGCGUAGGCGGUUUCUUAAGUCUGAUGUGAAAAGCCCACGGCUCAACCGUGGAGGGUCAUUGGAAACUGGGA